AUGCACGCUGGCGGCGUGCUUAACACCUGCCAGUCGAACGAUGAAGCCCAGCUUGCUGGGUGGAUUAGUGGCGAACGGGUGAGUAACACGUGAGUAACCUGCCCUUAACUCUGGGAUAAGCCUGGGAAACUGGGUCUAAUACCGGAUAGGAGCGUCCACCGCAUGGUGGGUGUUGGAAAGAUUUAUCGGUUUUGGAUGGACUCGCGGCCUAUCAGCUUGUUGGUGAGGUAAUGGCUCACCAAGGCGACGACGGGUAGCCGGCCUGAGAGGGUGACCGGCCACACGGGGACUGAGACACGGCCCAGACUCCUACGGGAGGCAGCAGUGGGGAAUAUUGCACAAUGGGCGCAAGCCUGAUGCAGCGACGCCGCGUGAGGGAUGACGGCCUUCGGGUUGUAAACCUCUUUCAGUAGGGAAGAAGCGAAGUGACGGUACCUGCAGAAGAAGCACCGGCUAACUACGUG
This 464-nucleotide ribosomal RNA is filed under the name uncultured bacterium. Its description in RNAcentral is "partial 16S ribosomal RNA". It matches the Rfam family "Bacterial small subunit ribosomal RNA", at positions 29 to 507 of the family's 1533-position model. The record is from RNAcentral.